AUUGAACGCUGGCGGCAGGCCUAACACAUGCAAGUCGAGCGGAGCGGCGGACGGGGGAGUAAUGCCUAGGAAUCUGCCUUGUAGUUGGGGAGAACGUCCGGAAACGGGCGCUAAUACCGCAUCCUCUCAGCUGUGCCUUGGUGGGUUUAGCUAGUUGGGGGGGUAAAGGCCUACCAGGGAGACGGACCGUAACUGGUCUGAGAGGAUGAUCAGUCACAUUGGAACUGGGACACGGUCCAGACUCCUACGGGGGGAAUCAGUGGGGAAUAUUGGACAAGGGGCGAAAGCUUGAUGCAGCCAUGCCGCGUGUGUGAAGCAGGUCUUCGGUUUGUAAAGUACUUUAAGUUGGGAGGCGUUACCAACAUAAUAAGCACCGGCUAACUUCGUGCCAGCAGCCGCGGUAAUUC
RNAcentral lists this ribosomal RNA (407 nucleotides) under uncultured bacterium. Its description in RNAcentral is "partial 16S ribosomal RNA". It matches the Rfam family "Bacterial small subunit ribosomal RNA", at positions 30 to 526 of the family's 1533-position model. The record is from RNAcentral.